This 253-nucleotide ribosomal RNA is filed under the name uncultured bacterium. RNAcentral describes it as "partial 16S ribosomal RNA". It matches the Rfam family "Bacterial small subunit ribosomal RNA", at positions 524 to 776 of the family's 1533-position model. The record is from RNAcentral.
GACGAACCGUGCGAACGUUGUUCGGAAUUACUGGGCGUAAAGGGCGCGUAGGCGGACGAUUAAGUCGGGGGUGAAAGCCCAGGGCUCAACCCUGGAAAUGCCUUCGAUACUGGUCGUCUUGAGUACGGGAGAGGUGUGUGGAACUCCGAGUGUAGAGGUGAAAUUCGUAGAUAUUCGGAAGAACACCAGUGGCGAAGGCGACACACUGGCCCGUUACUGACGCUGAGGCGCGAAAGCGUGGGGAGCAAACAGG